AAAAUUUUUCCAGCAUGUAUAGUUCCUGAGAAUUAAUUUCUUUUUUGGUUUAUGAAAACAAAAAUUUAAUAAUUGUUCUGCACAUCAUAUUGCAUCAGAAAAUUAGAUACACUGAAAUUUUGCUUGCAGUAAUAGAAUAAUUUUAGUUUUAGUAAUGUCAAAUAAGAUUGUUUAAAGUACGAGAAAUUCAUGUUAAAAGCAGAUAUUGUUGGGAACACAUUGAGUAAAAAGUCUUGG
This 237-nucleotide unclassified non-coding RNA is filed under the name Hevea brasiliensis (rubber tree). Lineage: Eukaryota; Viridiplantae; Streptophyta; Magnoliopsida; Malpighiales; Euphorbiaceae. The record is from RNAcentral.